This 462-nucleotide ribosomal RNA is filed under the name uncultured bacterium. RNAcentral describes it as "partial 16S ribosomal RNA". It matches the Rfam family "Bacterial small subunit ribosomal RNA", at positions 28 to 507 of the family's 1533-position model. The record is from RNAcentral.
GACGAACGCUGGCGGCGUGCUUAACACAUGCAAGUCGAACGGUGAAGCCCUUCGGGGUGGAUCAGUGGCGAACGGGUGAGUAACACGUGAGCAACCUGCCCCUGGCUCUGGGACAACCACUGGAAACGGUGGCUAAUACCGGAUACGACCCGCCUCGGCAUCGAGUGUGGGUGGAAAGUUUUUCGGCUGGGGAUGGGCUCGCGGCCUAUCAGCUUGUUGGUGAGGUGAAGGCUCACCAAGGCGACGACGGGUAGCCGGCCUGAGAGGGCGACCGGCCACACUGGGACUGAAACACGGCCCAGACUCCUACGGGAGGCAGCAGUGGGGAAUAUUGCACAAUGGGCGAAAGCCUGAUGCAGCGACGCCGCGUGAGGGAUGACGGCCUUCGGGUUGUAAACCUCUUUCAGCUCCGAAGAAGCGAAAGUGACGGUAGGAGCAGAAGAAGCACCGGCUAACUACGUG